ACGUUUAUGCGUUGUUGGGUAGGGGAGCGUUCUGUAAGCCUGCGAAGGUGGCCUGUGAGGGUUGCUGGAGGUAUCAGAAGUGCGAAUGCUGACAUAAGUAACGAUAAAGCGGGUGAAAAGCCCGCUCGCCGGAAGACCAAGGGUUCCUGUCCAACGUUAAUCGGGGCAGGGUGAGUCGACCCCUAAGGCGAGGCCGAAAGGCGUAGUCGAUGGGAAACGGGUUAAUAUUCCCGUACUUGGUGUUACUGCGAAGGGGGGACGGAGAAGGCUAUGUUGGCCGGGCGACGGUUGUCCCGGUUUAAGCGUGUAGGUGUGUGUUCCAGGUAAAUCCGGUUCACUUUAACACUGAGGCGUGAUGACGAGGCACUACGGUGCUGAAGCAACAAAUGCCCUGCUUCCAGGAAAAGCCUCUAAGCAUCAGGUAACACGAAAUCGUACCCCAAACCGACACAGGUGGUCAGGUAGAGAAUACCAAGGCGCUUGAGAGAACUCGGGUGAAGGAACUAGGCAAAAUGGUGCCGUAACUUCGGGAGAAGGCACGCUGACACGUAGGUGAAGUGAUUUACUCAUGGAGCUGAAGUCAGUCGAAGAUACCAGCUGGCUGCAACUGUUUAUUAAAAACACAGCACUGUGCAAACACGAAAGUGGACGUAUACGGUGUGACGCCUGCCCGGUGCCGGAAGGUUAAUUGAUGGGGUCAGCGCAAGCGAAGCUCCUGAUCGAAGCCCCGGUAAACGGCGGCCGUAACUAUAACGGUCCUAAGGUAGCGAAAUUCCUUGUCGGGUAAGUUCCGACCUGCACGAAUGGCGUAAUGAUGGCCAGGCUGUCUCCACCCGAGACUCAGUGAAAUUGAACUCGCUGUGAAGAUGCAGUGUACCCGCGGCAAGACGGAAAGACCCCGUGAACCUUUACUAUAGCUUGACACUGAACAUUGAGCCUUGAUGUGUAGGAUAGGUGGGAGGCUUUGAAGUGUGGACGCCAGUCUGCAUGGAGCCGACCUUGAAAUACCACCCUUUAAUGUUUGAUGUUCUAACGUGGACCCGUUACCCGGGUUGCGGACAGUGUCUGGUGGGUAGUUUGACUGGGGCGGUCUCCUCCUAAAGAGUAACGGAGGAGCACGAAGGUUGGCUAAUCCUGGUCGGACAUCAGGAGGUUAGUGCAAUGGCAUAAGCCAGCUUGACUGCGAGCGUGACGGCGCGAGCAGGUGCGAAAGCAGGUCAUAGUGAUCCGGUGGUUCUGAAUGGAAGGGCCAUCGCUCAACGGAUAAAAGGUACUCCGGGGAUAACAGGCUGAUACCGCCCAAGAGUUCAUAUCGACGGCGGUGUUUGGCACCUCGAUGUCGGCUCAUCACAUCCUGGGGCUGAAGUAGGUCCCAAGGGUAUGGCUGUUCGCCAUUUAAAGUGGUACGCGAGCUGGGUUUAGAACGUCGUGAGACAGUUCGGUCCCUAUCUGCCGUGGGCGCUGGAGAACUGAGGGGGGCUGCUCCUAGUACGAGAGGACCGGAGUGGACGCAUCACUGGUGUUCGGGUUGUCAUGCCAAUGGCACUGCCCGGUAGCUAAAUGCGGAAGAGAUAAGUGCUGAAAGCAUCUAAGCACGAAACUUGCCCCGAGAUGAGUUCUCCCUGAGACUUAGAGUCUCCUGAAGGAACGUUGAAGACGACGACGUUGAUAGGCCGGGUGUGUAAGCGCAGCGAUGCGUUGAGCUAACCGGUACUAAUGAACCGUGAGGCUUAACCUUACAACGCCGAAG
RNAcentral lists this ribosomal RNA (1750 nucleotides) under Salmonella enterica subsp. enterica serovar Bovismorbificans. RNAcentral's name for it is "partial 23S ribosomal RNA". It matches the Rfam family "Bacterial large subunit ribosomal RNA", at positions 1211 to 2925 of the family's 2925-position model. Lineage: Bacteria; Pseudomonadati; Pseudomonadota; Gammaproteobacteria; Enterobacterales; Enterobacteriaceae. The record is from RNAcentral.